RNAcentral lists this transfer RNA (76 nucleotides) under Bacillota bacterium. Its description in RNAcentral is "Firmicutes bacterium tRNA-Thr". It matches the Rfam family "tRNA". From Rfam's summary of the family: Transfer RNA (tRNA) molecules are approximately 80 nucleotides in length. Lineage: Bacteria; Bacillati; Bacillota. RNAcentral also lists the same sequence under 4 other names. The record is from RNAcentral.
GCUGCUAUGGCUCAGGAGGUAGAGCACGUCCUUGGUAAGGACGAGGUCACCGGUUCAAAUCCGGUUAGCAGCUCCA